AGAAGUUCUCUGUCACCGAUCACGCAACCCAUCAUUUCCCUCUCUUUAUUGCCAGAGCCCUAUAAAAGCCAAUACCUCGUUCGCAUCUCUCGCCAGAAAAGCUUACCUAAAGCCUCUUUCUACUCUUUCUCUCGCUAUAAUCAAGCCGCCUGCUUCUUUUUCUUCUUCGGUUCUUCAAAAUGGUUAUUGAAGGUAAUGAAGAUACGCCUACGCGGGUUGUCCUUACGGAGCCAACGUCAUUAGAUGGAGACUCUGAUGCUUAUAAGGCUCCUAAUCUCGUUCGAAGGAUUUUAAGUCUAUUUACAACUGUACGGCCAGGAGCAGAUUUCACAAAAUUUCAGACACUGUGGUAGAGCAGAGGGUGACAUUAUGCUGAUUUUGCAUAUUUCCAAGUUCAGCUGCCACCGCUUUUCAACAUUCCAAAGUCACACCUCCAAUGUUUUGGUGAAUCUGUGUAUUCUGUGGGUAAAGAUUUGCUGCAUGAGUGCAACAGUGAAGAGAGCUCACAAGACAGAUUCAUAUCUGUGGUUGCAUGGAGCAUUUCUACAGCUCGUCCUGUUGUCUUUGGUGUUGCUCCUUACAAUUCUAUUCUUGGAGAGACUCACCAUGUCUCUAGGGGAAGCCUCAAUGUUCUCCUAGAACAGGUUUCACAUCACCCACCUGUUUCUGCACUUCAUGCAACUGAUAAGGAAGAAAACAUUGAGAUGAUUUGGU
Molecule: unclassified non-coding RNA, 714 nt
Filed under: Hevea brasiliensis (rubber tree)
Lineage: Eukaryota; Viridiplantae; Streptophyta; Magnoliopsida; Malpighiales; Euphorbiaceae
Source: RNAcentral